Molecule: ribosomal RNA, 636 nt
Filed under: uncultured bacterium
Lineage: Bacteria
Description: bacterial SSU rRNA
Rfam family: Bacterial small subunit ribosomal RNA
Source: RNAcentral
GAGUUUGAACCUGGCUCAGGACGAACGCUGGCGGCGUGCCUAAUACAUGCAAGUAGAACGCUGAAGAGAGGAGCUUGCUCUUCUUGGAUGAGUUGCGAACGGGUGAGUAACGCGUAGGUAACCUGCCUUGUAGCGGGGGAUAACUAUUGGAAACGAUAGCUAAUACCGCAUAACAAUGGAUGACACAUGUCAUUUAUUUGAAAGGGGCAAUUGCUCCACUACAAGAUGGACCUGCGUUGUAUUAGCUAGUAGGUGAGGUAAUGGCUCACCUAGGCGACGAUACAUAGCCGACCUGAGAGGGUGAUCGGCCACACUGGGACUGAGACACGGCCCAGACUCCUACGGGAGGCAGCAGUAGGGAAUCUUCGGCAAUGGGGGCAACCCUGACCGAGCAACGCCGCGUGAGUGAAGAAGGUUUUCGGAUCGUAAAGCUCUGUUGUAAGUCAAGAACGGGUGUGAGAGUGGAAAGUUCACACUGUGACGGUAGCUUACCAGAAAGGGACGGCUAACUACGUGCCAGCAGCCGCGGUAAUACGUAGGUCCCGAGCGUUGUCCGGAUUUAUUGGGCGUAAAGCGAGCGCAGGCGGUUUGAUAAGUCUGAAGUUAAAGGCUGUGGCUCAACCAUAGUUCGCUUUG